CAUGCGNGNUUAGAAUGCAAGUCGCACGGGGAUAUUUUGGUAGUAAUACUUGAAUAUUCUAGUGGCGCACGGGUGAGUAACACGUGAAUUACAUGCCCUUCAGUGGGGAAUAGCCCAGGGAAACUUGGAUUAAUACCCCAUGGUAUCGCAAGAUUAAAGGUGGCCGCAAGGCUGUCGCUGAAGGAUUGGUUCGCGCCCUAUCAGCUUGUUGGCGAGGUAACGGCUCACCAAGGCUACGACGGGUACCUGGUUUGAGAGGACGAUCAGGCACACUGGAACUGAGACACGGUCCAGACACCUACGGGUGGCAGCAGUCGAGAAUAAUUCACAAUGGGGGCAACCCUGAUGGUGCAACGCCGCGUGGAGGAUGACGGUCUUCGGAUUGUAAACUCCUGUCAUCCGGGAGUAGGACCUGGCAGUUAAUAGCUGACAGGGUUGAUAGUACCGGAAGAGGAAGGGACGGCUAACUUCGUGCCAGCAGCCGCGGUAAUACGAAGGUCCCGAGCGUUGUUCGGAAUCACUGGGCGUAAAGGGAGCGUAGGCGGCGUGGUAAGUCAGAUGUGAAAUCCCGGGGCUCAACCCCGGAACUGCAUCCGAUACUGCCGUGCUAGAGUGAUGGAGAGGUAGCUGGAAUUCUUGGUGUAGCAGUGAAAUGCGUAGAUAUCAAGAGGAACACUCGUGGCGAAAGCGAGCUACUGGACAUUUACUGACGCUGAGGCUCGAAGGCCAGGGUAGCGAAGGGGAUUAGAUACCCCUGUAGUCCUGGCAGUAAACGGUGCACGCUUGGUGUGAGGGGAAUCGACCCCCCUUGUGCCGGAGCUAACGCGUUAAGCGUGCCGCCUGGGAAAGU
RNAcentral lists this ribosomal RNA (850 nucleotides) under uncultured bacterium. RNAcentral's name for it is "bacterial SSU rRNA". It matches the Rfam family "Bacterial small subunit ribosomal RNA", at positions 43 to 882 of the family's 1533-position model. The record is from RNAcentral.